This 216-nucleotide ribosomal RNA is filed under the name Glomeromycotina sp. RNAcentral describes it as "partial small subunit ribosomal RNA". The stretch from base 40 to 216 matches the Rfam family "Eukaryotic small subunit ribosomal RNA", at positions 686 to 864 of the family's 1831-position model. Lineage: Eukaryota; Fungi; Glomeromycota. The record is from RNAcentral.
GGGCCAGUAGGUUGGUCGUGCCACCGGUACGUACUGGUCUCACUGAUUCCUCCUUCCUGAAGAACCGUAAUGCCAUUAAUUUGGUGUUGCGGGGAAACAGGACUGUUACUUUGAAAAAAUUAGAGUGUUUAACGCAAGCUAACGCUUGAAUACAUUAGCAUGGAAUAAUGAAAUAGGACGAUCGAUCCUAUUUUGUUGGUUUCUAGGAUUGACGUA